Molecule: long non-coding RNA, 429 nt
Organism: Apodemus sylvaticus (European woodmouse)
Lineage: Eukaryota; Metazoa; Chordata; Mammalia; Rodentia; Muridae
Exons: 2
Source: RefSeq, a predicted model, not a curated record
UCUACUUUCAAUAAACUUAAGGCUUAGAAUAAGAUUCUGCUUUUUUAAAAGUCAUUUUAGUGUGUGUGUGUGUGUGUGUGUGUGUGUGUGUGUGUUUGUGUGUGUGUGUGCGCGCGUGCGCCUGCAUGUAUGAUAUGACAGGACCUCUGCUGUCAUAAACUCUCAGAAGCUGUGGCUUCCUAUAAAAGAGCUGCACAACCCAGCCACCAAACCUCCGACCUACAGUCUGUCCUGCCUGCAGAGCGUUCGAGGACUGGAGCCUAGCAGAGUCAUCAGAGACCAGAGAGACUCCAUCCAGCAACCGGAAAGAAAGGCAGAGUGGUCACCGCUCUGCCCGAGGAUCACGGCACCCUACUGAGACUGUUUCCCUGAAACCCAAAUAAACUAAAGUCCUUUAUGAAGCCUGCUGAGAAGACCAAAAGAAAAAGG